GCCUGACUCAGGUCCCCUAAAAUUCUCAUCCCUACCCUGAGCACCAGCUCUUGAGAUGAUGGACUUUGCUCCUGUAAGGGGAUCUGACCCUUGAGGUUCCCUGCCCUCUGCCUUGAGGACUGAAAGGAAAAGGAAUUCCAGCUUGCAGCAGGUCUCUUUUUAUGCUGUUGGCAACAAUCCCCAGGUGGGUCUUCCAUGCCUGGAGCCACACUGAUACCAUUCAGCUGGGUGUUCCAAAUUGACCAUCAGUCCACCACAGUGUCUCUACCUCUAAACACAUCUGUCUCACAGAACUGUAAAGGUUGAACAAGGAAGUCUACCAGGAUCAAGCAGUAGGUGAAAAAUGCUGCUGGAUCACAUAAGAUGCCAAAAGAACCACGGCUAAUGGAAGCUUUCUCAAAGACCCCCCAGGACAGUGGCCUGCUCAUGUCUUCUCAUCUUGGGUGGCAUAGACUGCCUGCAGCUGAGGACCCACUGCCACAUCCUCUGCAACAGUGCCUUGUUGGCCAGUGUGUUGAUGACUGACUGAUAGGUAUGAGUAUUAAAUGCUUUUGCCUCCUUCCUAAUGGAACAUCAGAGACCUUUCCACCAGCCUCUCCCAUUGCCAGUUAGGUGGGUCUGAUUCACUCUGUUGUAAUUCAGCACAUUCUCUGCAGCCACCAUGGGAACUCUGGAGGCUCAGAAGUGGUGCUGGUCUUACUACCCUCAAACCAGGGUAAUGAGGUUCUCGUGUAAUCACAGGCCCAGGCAGAGGACUUACCACAGACCACAUAGCUGGAAGGCAGAACCGCCAGCAGUGUGGCCGCCCAGGCAUGGUUAAGCACCCUGAUCUGAAAUCCCAUAAUACUCUGCAGAUUCCCAUUCACUGCACUUAGUGCCCUAUUGGCCUCCUUCGUGACAAUAAACAUCUCGAGGCCAUUCUAGCAGCCUCUUGGGUCCCACUGCCUAACCCAGGACAAGGACACUUCUGUGGCACACAGCACACAGCCCAGUGAUGCCCUUUGGCUCUCUGUGCAGAGGUCUCAGGUGCCCUGUUGAGAGCUCUGUGACUGCCUUGGGUUAUGGAGACCUAGGGCUGUCACAUCCAAAUCUCCCUAGGUUUGCUAGGUCACCUCUCAUCCCCUCUACUGCUCCCAUGGGCUCUCUCCUUCCAUCUCAAGCCAACUUCCUCCUGUCACAGACAUGCCCUUACAUAUGCUUUCCAAACAUGGACCUAGUGAGCAAUCAUGGCUGAAUCUCAGCAGGC
Long non-coding RNA from Heterocephalus glaber (naked mole-rat), 1246 nucleotides. RefSeq lists it as uncharacterized. The record is from RefSeq and is a predicted model, not a curated record. NCBI's taxonomy places the organism in Eukaryota, Metazoa, Chordata, Mammalia, Rodentia, Bathyergidae.